RNAcentral lists this ribosomal RNA (1579 nucleotides) under Escherichia coli. Its description in RNAcentral is "partial 23S ribosomal RNA". It matches the Rfam family "Bacterial large subunit ribosomal RNA", at positions 1368 to 2925 of the family's 2925-position model. The record is from RNAcentral. Lineage: Bacteria; Pseudomonadati; Pseudomonadota; Gammaproteobacteria; Enterobacterales; Enterobacteriaceae.
AUCGGGGCAGGGUGAGUCGACCCCUAAGGCGAGGCCGAAAGGCGUAGUCGAUGGGAAACAGGUUAAUAUUCCUGUACUUGGUGUUACUGCGAAGGGGGGACGGAGAAGGCUAUGUUGGCCGGGCGACGGUUGUCCCGGUUUAAGCGUGUAGGCUGGUUUUCCAGGCAAAUCCGGAAAAUCAAGGCUGAGGCGUGAUGACGAGGCACUACGGUGCUGAAGCGACAAAUGCCCUGCUUCCAGGAAAAGCCUCUAAGCAUCAGGUAACAUCAAAUCGUACCCCAAACCGACACAGGUGGUCAGGUAGAGAAUACCAAGGCGCUUGAGAGAACUCGGGUGAAGGAACUAGGCAAAAUGGUGCCGUAACUUCGGGAGAAGGCACGCUGAUAUGUAGGUGAAGCGACUUGCUCGUGGAGCUGAAAUCAGUCGAAGAUACCAGCUGGCUGCAACUGUUUAUUAAAAACACAGCACUGUGCAAACACGAAAGUGGACGUAUACGGUGUGACGCCUGCCCGGUGCCGGAAGGUUAAUUGAUGGGGUUAGCGGUAACGCGAAGCUCUUGAUCGAAGCCCCGGUAAACGGCGGCCGUAACUAUAACGGUCCUAAGGUAGCGAAAUUCCUUGUCGGGUAAGUUCCGACCUGCACGAAUGGCGUAAUGAUGGCCAGGCUGUCUCCACCCGAGACUCAGUGAAAUUGAACUCGCUGUGAAGAUGCAGUGUACCCGCGGCAAGACGGAAAGACCCCGUGAACCUUUACUAUAGCUUGACACUGAACAUUGAGCCUUGAUGUGUAGGAUAGGUGGGAGGCUUUGAAGUGUGGACGCCAGUCUGCAUGGAGCCGACCUUGAAAUACCACCCUUUAAUGUUUGAUGUUCUAACGUGGGCCCCUUACCGGGGUUGCGGACAGUGUCUGGUGGGUAGUUUGACUGGGGCGGUCUCCUCCUAAAGAGUAACGGAGGAGCACGAAGGUUGGCUAAUCCUGGUCGGACAUCAGGAGGUUAGUGCAAUGGCAUAAGCCAGCUUGACUGCGAGCGUGACGGCGCGAGCAGGUGCGAAAGCAGGUCAUAGUGAUCCGGUGGUUCUGAAUGGAAGGGCCAUCGCUCAACGGAUAAAAGGUACUCCGGGGAUAACAGGCUGAUACCGCCCAAGAGUUCAUAUCGACGGCGGUGUUUGGCACCUCGAUGUCGGCUCAUCACAUCCUGGGGCUGAAGUAGGUCCCAAGGGUAUGGCUGUUCGCCAUUUAAAGUGGUACGCGAGCUGGGUUUAGAACGUCGUGAGACAGUUCGGUCCCUAUCUGCCGUGGGCGCUGGAGAACUGAGGGGGGCUGCUCCUAGUACGAGAGGACCGGAGUGGACGCAUCACUGGUGUUCGGGUUGUCAUGCCAAUGGCACUGCCCGGUAGCUAAAUGCGGAAGAGAUAAGUGCUGAAAGCAUCUAAGCACGAAACUUGCCCCGAGAUGAGUUCUCCCUGACUCCUUGAGAGUCCUGAAGGAACGUUGAAGACGACGACGUUGAUAGGCCGGGUGUGUAAGCGCAGCGAUGCGUUGAGCUAACCGGUACUAAUGAACCGUGAGGCUUAACCUU